Molecule: ribosomal RNA, 429 nt
Filed under: Pseudomonadota bacterium
Lineage: Bacteria; Pseudomonadati; Pseudomonadota
Description: Proteobacteria bacterium partial 16S ribosomal RNA
Rfam family: Bacterial small subunit ribosomal RNA
Source: RNAcentral
UGGGGAAUAUUGGACAAUGGGCGAAAGCCUGAUCCAGCCAUGCCGCGUGUGUGAAGAAGGUCUUCGGAUUGUAAAGCACUUUAAGUUGGGAGGAAGGGCAGUAAGCGAAUACCUUGCUGUUUUGACGUUACCGACAGAAUAAGCACCGGCUAACUCUGUGCCAGCAGCCGCGGUAAUACAGAGGGUGCAAGCGUUAAUCGGAAUUACUGGGCGUAAAGCGCGCGUAGGUGGUUCGUUAAGUUGAAUGUGAAAGCCCCGGGCUCAACCUGGGAACUGCAUCCAAAACUGGCGAGCUAGAGUAGGGCAGAGGGUGGUGGAAUUUCCUGUGUAGCGGUGAAAUGCGUAGAUAUAGGAAGGAACACCAGUGGCGAAGGCGACCACCUGGGCUCAUACUGACACUGGGGUGCGAAAGCGUGGGGAGCAAACAAG